RNAcentral lists this ribosomal RNA (466 nucleotides) under uncultured bacterium. RNAcentral describes it as "partial 16S ribosomal RNA". It matches the Rfam family "Bacterial small subunit ribosomal RNA", at positions 28 to 507 of the family's 1533-position model. The record is from RNAcentral.
GACGAACGCUGGCGGUGUGCUUAACACAUGCCAGUCGAACGGUAAGGCCCUUUCGGGGGUACACGAGUGGCGAACGGGUGAGUAACACGUGAGUAACCUGCCCUCAUCUCUGGGAUAACAGUCGGAAACGGUUGCUAAUACUGGAUAUGAGCUUGCAAGGCAUCUUGUGGGUUGGAAAGAUUUUUUUGGUUGGGGAUGGACUCGCGGCCUAUCAGCUUGUUGGUGAGGUAGUGGCUCACCAAGGCUUCGACGGGUAGCCGGCCUGAGAGGGCGACCGGCCACAUUGGGACUGAGAUACGGCCCAAACUCCUACGGGAGGCAGCAGUGGGGAAUAUUGCACAAUGGACGGAAGUCUGAUGCAGCAACGCCGCGUGCGGGAUGACGGCCUUCGGGUUGUAAACCGCUUUCAAUUGUGACGAAGCUUUUUGUGACGGUAGCAGUAGAAGAAGCACCGGCUAACUACGCG